Non-coding RNA from Pelobates cultripes (western spadefoot toad), 266 nucleotides. Lineage: Eukaryota; Metazoa; Chordata; Amphibia; Anura; Pelobatidae. The record is from the annotation of a GenBank genome assembly.
CCCACACAUAGCGUACAAUCACUCCCCUCUGCCUGGGAGAUAAUUGAGUCAGAUACUGUAUUAACUCAAUUAUCUCCAGGCAGAAAAACACACAUUUUACAAAUUCCCCAAAGUACCCCAAAAACACAUAAUAUCCCCACAAAUGUUACAUCCCCUGAUAGCCCUGAUCUGAGUGACCACCAUAUCCAAAGAUCACCCAGAUCAGUUCCGGGGUUCAGAAAUUUUAUGGAAGUCACAUUUUAACCGACUGCACGCAUGGUCCCAUG